AAAUUACAUGGUUUUACUUAACUUCUUUGAUUCUUAAAAUUGAUCUCUUUUUUCAUAUUUUGGAAAUCUUAAUUCUUAAUAUAGUUGGUCCUCUGUAUUUGCAGCUUCCACAUCCUCAGAUACAACCAACAAAGAAUCAUAAAUAUUUGGAGAAAAGAUUGUAGCAUAUUGAACAAGUACAGAAUUUCCUCCAAUCAUUAUAACAACUAUUUAUAGUAUUUACAUUGUGUUAGGCAUUAUGAAUAGUCUAGAGAUGAUUUAAAGUAUAUGGGGGAAAGUGUGUAUGCAAAUAUUUUGGUAUCUUUGGGGUGGGAGUGAUGGUGUCCUGGAACCAGUUCUCCAGAUAAUGAUGGCCAGUGGCCAUGGGCACGAUUAUGUAUUUAUUUUAUGCUGAAAUAUAUGUAAAAUUCAGUUGUGAAGUUAAAAUAUUACAUUGUCACUAAUAAAACUACUUAGUGAUUUUUUUGAGAAAAAAAGGAAUAUAAUUUCAGCACUGUAUUUAAUCCUUCUGAAGUAUUAUGUCAGUGCAACCCAGAUUAACAGCUGGGUAUGGCGGGGGGACUAUAUUAAAAUAUCACAAGCUGACCCUGAUGUCAAACCUCCUCAAACAGAGUUCUAAAACCUUGUGUAACUGUAACUCAGAACGAUCACAAACAUCUAUUGCAUUAGGUCUGACUUUCCCUAUUUUAAAACAACGUAACUGGAGGAGAAGAGCGUGAUGCGAUGAUGCCUUGGCUGGUGCAGCUGGAACUGGUUUGGGCAUAGUACACUCAGUAGACCCUGCGGGUGUGGCCGGCAGACUGCCCACGACAACCCUGCCUCACCAAGAUGCUCUGGACUCUGGUAAAUGAUGC
RNAcentral lists this long non-coding RNA (854 nucleotides) under Marmota monax (woodchuck). The record is from RNAcentral. Lineage: Eukaryota; Metazoa; Chordata; Mammalia; Rodentia; Sciuridae.